CAGCUCAUAUGAAAGGAAGAUCAUUAAGUGCUGUAGAAUUCAUGUUUUUUCUACUGUGUUUUAAUUUCUUCAGUGUUCCAUUGAAAAAUGCUGAGUUGUGCUGUUUAAAGCUUGAGCCUAACUGAAUGGCAUUACCUCCAUUGUUCUCACCUUCUUGAAAAUUUUUCACGAGCACAUGCGUUUUGAUGACAACAUGGCAGUUUCCAGCAGAUUAUGUGUUGGCAGACUAACAGAAAGGGGUAAUUGUUAGCAUUGUAGAUGUGGAUCAAACACCAAACUGCUCCCUGCUGUUUGGUAGCAUCCUGGCUGGUUCCCAGCAAAGGACCGACUAUCUUGGACUACCUGGCAUGCUUACUAUAUGUAGAUGCGAUCUGAUGCAACUAACAGUGCUACAUUCUGGUAUAUAUCUGGUCUCUGUAGUGCAGUGAAUACUUGGAUGCCGCUGCUGCGGCUGCUUUUCUUUUAGGCAAUGAUGGGAAGAAGAGUGGGUAGUAAAAUAUGAAGCUUAGGUCAUGUAUUUCCCACUUGAAAAAGUGGUCCAGGUUUCAACUUUUUACUGCUGUAUGUUGGUUGUAAAUGAAAGAAAUUUGUGGUGGGGAAAGUUGCCAUUCCAAACGAUGUUUGUAGUAAAUGGUGGUCGGCACGGCAAGUAUUGUUAUCAAUUAUCAUAUAUAUAAUAUAAUAUAUAUUGUUUGUAAUAGCUCGAUUUUUAGUGGUGUUAGAAAUAGUGAUUCGAGGGGAUUAAAUUCGGCGAAUAAACUCGUAAAUUUUAUUAUUUAAUAUUUACUAGUCAAAUAUGGUUUAAAUUUUUUUUUGAAUUAAUAA
Long non-coding RNA from Gossypium arboreum, 825 nucleotides. RefSeq lists it as uncharacterized. The transcript has 2 exons. The record is from RefSeq and is a predicted model, not a curated record. NCBI's taxonomy places the organism in Eukaryota, Viridiplantae, Streptophyta, Magnoliopsida, Malvales, Malvaceae.